Dreissena polymorpha is the source of this 484-nucleotide long non-coding RNA. RefSeq lists it as uncharacterized. Lineage: Eukaryota; Metazoa; Mollusca; Bivalvia; Myida; Dreissenidae. The transcript has 3 exons. The record is from RefSeq and is a predicted model, not a curated record.
GUUGAAGUAUCCGAUGGCAAAGACUCACUACAAGGGUGGAUGUUAGCAAUAGUCAUUUCCUCGGUUUUUGUCCUGGUUAUUUUGGUCGCAACAACCCUUUAUUGCUGUCUGCGAACACCUAAGGAAACCGCUAGUAAGAACACAUUCACAUCGAGGCAGUCGAAAGAAAAAUCCGUGUUGUGGCAAAGUGGGGGAAUUAAUAACAGUCACUUUCCGAACUUAAAGCAAGUACGCGAGCAUGGCCAGAAAUACGACAAUCCUAAGACUGACUGGACGAUGCGACCAGGAUUGCGUGCAUCAGCUAUGGCAUGGACAAGUUUGAAGUUCGUCGGUGUAUGACCCGAAAGCGAUACAUACAGUUUAAUGCGAGCUUAUUUAUUUGUAACCGACAACAACCAGUUCACUGUUUGUCAUGGUUACUUUCUGUGUGUAUCUAUAAAGUGUAUGUCAUCAAUGUUUAUUAAAGUAAUUAGUAUAGUUUGCA